Molecule: long non-coding RNA, 99 nt
Organism: Melanotaenia boesemani (Boeseman's rainbowfish)
Lineage: Eukaryota; Metazoa; Chordata; Actinopteri; Atheriniformes; Melanotaeniidae
Exons: 3
Source: RefSeq, a predicted model, not a curated record
CCCUCCACCACCGUGCUUGACAGUUGUUAUGCGGUUUUUGUGCUGCGUUUAGUUUUCUACAAAUGUGCUGUUUUUGAUUUGCAUCUUUUUGAUUUGAUC